UCACUGUCAUCGUAGAGCCACGACACCAGUUUAGGAUGGCUCGUGUCGAGAUGUUCUCGCGCAGCAUCAGGCUGACAGAUAUGCUGUCUAGAAGACUUGUGUCCAGGCAAGCCUUACGGUCCGUGUGGACUGGGAGAGAGAGCCUUGAAGAGGAUGACCCUGAGGUGAUGGCCAUCAUAAAACAGGAGAAAAAGAGACAGCUUCAUGGUCUGGAACUGAUCGCUUCAGAGAAUUUUGCGAGUCGAGCUGUCAUAGAGGCUUUAGGAUCUUGUCUGACAAAUAAAUAUUCUGAAGGUUAUCCAGGUGCUAGGUACUAUGGAGGGAAUUUAUUUAUUGAUAAGAUAGAGAGUCUCUGUCAGACGAGAGCUCUGGAGGCGUUCCGGCUGGACCCUCACCUGUGGGGGGUCAAUGUCCAGCCCUACUCCGGGAGUCCAGCCAACUUCGAGGCCUUCACUGCCCUACUGAAGCCACACGACAGAAUCAUGGGUUUGGAUCUACCCGAUGGUGGACAUUUGACCCAUGGAUUCAUGACUGACACGAAAAGGAUUUCAGCUACCUCAGUAUUCUUCGAAUCCAUGCCAUACAGACUUAAUCCCCAAACAGGUUACAUUGACUACGACAAACUCAGGGACACUGCUCAUCUAUUCCGUCCAAAGCUUAUCAUUGCUGGAACCACUGCCUACUCUAGAUUGCUGGACUAUAAAGCUUACAGAGAAAUUUGUGAUGAGGUGAAUGCCUACAUGUUAGCAGAUAUGGCCCACGUAUCAGGGCUGGUGGCGGCCAAUGUUAUUCCUAGUCCUUUUGAUUAUGCUGAUGUUGUAACAUCUACAACUCACAAAACGCUGAGGGGACCAAGGUCUGGGAUGAUAUUUUAUCGCAAAGGCAAAAAAGGUGUGGACAAGAAAGGAAAUGACAUCAUGUAUGACUUGGAGAAGAAGAUCAACAAUGCUGUGUUCCCUGCUCUACAGGGAGGGCCCCACGAGCACCAGAUAGGGGCACUGGCUGUGGCCCUCAAACAGGCAAAGUCCCCAGAAUUCAGAGAAUAUCAACAACAGGUCUUAAAGAAUGCCAAAGUGAUGGCUAAAGCCCUGCUUGACAAAGGAUAUAAUGUUGUGUCUGGGGGUACUGAUAACCACCUGGUACUGGUGGAUCUAAAGUCUAAGGGAACGGAUGGUGCUCGAGUGGAGCGGAUCCUGGAACUGUGUGAGAUUUCUGUCAACAAGAACACUUGUGCCGGAGACAAGAGUCCAAUGACCCCAGGAGGACUCAGAAUUGGUGCACCUGCUAUGACUUCACGUGGAAUGAAAGAAAAGGACUUUGAGAAGAUUGUAGAAUUUUUAGACCAUGGAGUUCAGAUUGGAAUCAAUGCCAAAAAGUAUUCAAAGACCUUGAAGGAGUUCAGACAUGUAGUGAUAGCCAAUGAAGAUCUUCAAGCUCAGAUUGACAGGGUACGAGCAGAGGUUACAGAAUUCGCCAGUCAAUUCCCAAUGCCAGGACUAGAUGACCGCUAGGACUAAAUAAACGCCAAGUCAUGUGAUACUACCCAAUAAACCAAAUAUGGACAUCGAGAAGUGCUUUAAAACCCUUGAUAUAAGAAUACAUUUAAAAUUCAAAGCCUAUUUUUUGAUUGUGUGCAGUAUGAAUUUUUAAAAAAUUGAUUAUUCACUAUAUAUAGCGGAAUUUUAGCCCCGUUUUAUUUUUGCCAUUAUCGACUCUAUUUUCAAUGGGCAAAUUCAGACAUGACGGCAUUAUAUUUCAUUAAUACAACUAGUACUGUUUCUGGGAGAAUUUAAAACAGUAUAAAAUUUAUUGCAAUAGGGUAGGACAAAAGUAUCGCCUAAUGGAGUCGGUUAAUUUUUUUAAAUCAAAAUUUUGAAUUACAUUGAUGCUACUUCUGGUUUGUAUUGAGGUGAAAGGAGGCUAUUAGAAUAUAAAUUUUAGUGUGCUUUUCUUUGGUUGGUUGUUUUAUAAAACUGUCAGAUAUAAAAUUAUUCAUUCUGAUAUUUUAAAGAAUCUCUAGGGUUGGAUCUGAGAUUUUAGAAGAUUUGUGUUAUACUUGAAAGAUUAUGCAUUGCAUUUAUAGUUUCUUUCUUGUGUGGUACACAAGUUUUUAGAAUAUUGUAAUUAUUUGAGGAGUUUUUUUAGUGAGGAAAUAUUUUUUUUUUGGAAUAUUGUAAUGGUGUACUGAUUGAUUUUAACUGGCAAAUUCAGGUAUCAGAAAAUUAGUCACAAAGUAUUAUGAAAAUAGAAGACAAUGAAUGAUAUUAUUAAAUUACUGAUUUAGCCAGAAUGUCAUAUAAUGUGCAUAUCAGUAUUGUUUACAAUAUAUAAACUUUUCCAAUAUUCUUGUUGUGUAUUUCAUGUACAUUAUGUAUCAACAACAGGAUCUAACCUCACAAUAAUUCAUCAUGGGAUACUUUUGUUUAAAUGUAAUAUCCAGGUGCCAAAUUGAAUCUUUUUGAAUUGAUUACAAUGCCUGUAGGAGAAUAUGUUGGAAACUGUUACUUCUAACCAUAGGCAUUGUUUGCAGCCACGUUGCAAAUGCAUUGAUCUUUCUUUUUUUCUAGACUAGCCUUGACAUAAUUUUUUAAACAUGCUUUGUACUCUAUUUUUUGUUAGAUUCAUUUUAGAUGAAAUGAAAAUCAAAGUGGAGAAUUUUAUCAAUUAAAAACCUUUAAUAUUGAAUUAGAUUGGACUUUAGAUAUGUGCAAAAAUAUGAAAACAAAGGAAACGGGAUAAAACAACUGGAGAGAUAUAGAAGCCCCUGGUCAUUUCUAGUUUUGGAUGAAGAUAGAUUUCUGUUUGAAUUUUUAUUUGAAACACAGGUGCAGGAAAGUGUGCAUGCAGAUGUCAUUUUAAUUUUUUUUUCUUAGUGGUACACUGUUCUUUGUUUAUGUAAUAAGUACAUGCAUAAUUAAUUAAAUGCACGUUUAAGUAAAAUUAGAUGAUAGUAUUAGAUUUCAUGUAAUAUCACAAUGAAAAUGAAAAGUAUGCAAGUAAUUGUGCCAUAGUUGGUUUUGUGUUUUUCACUUUCUGUAAAACUAUUUUAUGUGUUUUUUUUCCUCUCUUCGUUUUGCUUCUUGUUAAUCUCAACAUAGUUUUUUUUCACUAUCUAUUAAAUCUGAGUUUUAUUCUUAUUUUGUUAAAUGGGUGGUGUUCUUGUAUUUGAUUUGCUAGCGUUCUAGACUAAUUGUGUUCUAGAUGUUUUUUAUAAUUUCUUCUUGGUUUUGCUUAUUUGGUCAGGGUGAUUUUGUUGUGCAUAAAAUUCGUUUUUAGCAAAAUGUUUUGUCUUGAAAAAAAGUGCUCUUGAAUAUGUAUAUAUGUAUACGCAUGUGAAUCUCCAAUAUUCAUGUUUCAUGCAUUUGAAAUGUUUGGCCUUUAUGUUUUAUUGAAAUAAAAAGUUGAAGGUUGGCUUUAUAUGUUUA
RNA transcript from Saccostrea cuccullata (small rock oyster), 3425 nucleotides. It is a transcript of the gene named serine hydroxymethyltransferase, mitochondrial-like, with no coding region annotated. Lineage: Eukaryota; Metazoa; Mollusca; Bivalvia; Ostreida; Ostreidae. The record is from RefSeq and is a predicted model, not a curated record. The transcript is spliced from 13 exons.